This 81-nucleotide non-coding RNA is filed under the name unclassified sequences. The record is from Rfam.
GUACUGAAAUGCAUGGUGGGAAAUCAGUGUGAAAUUCAUUGGCUGUUCCUGCAACCGUAAAGUCGGAGCGCCACCCAGUAU